Molecule: long non-coding RNA, 1001 nt
Filed under: Betta splendens (Siamese fighting fish)
Lineage: Eukaryota; Metazoa; Chordata; Actinopteri; Anabantiformes; Osphronemidae
Description: lncRNA (ENSBSLG00000008181.1)
Source: RNAcentral
GAAAGAGCAGGCUUCACUUAGACAAAGUUGCGCUGUGAGCGCCCCUCCAGCGUUUGGUUUCAUCCAGCAUUUACUGGGUUAACCUUGAAGCCGAAGCGCGGGGGAGGGGUGGUUCUCCGGAACUUGGACAUCAUUGGCUACGGGUAACCCUGGUAACGCCAUACUUGGGCCUUUUCCGCCUUGCUGGGGCAGAAACGGCGCUAAGGCUUAUGGCCUCCAUCUUAGAACCUCCACUUUACUUUCGGUUUUGCGUGUAGCGAGUUGUGCCUCAUAGAAGAGGAGAAAAAUAUUCUUCGCUCAGAAGUUGGAGCAGAACCCUUUUCGGACCAUUGUGGACGUACCGCGUGCUUUGGACCGAAACGUUUUUUUGGAUUACAUUCGCUGGAUUAUAACAAACAGAAUGAGACCGCACUCGACGUGACUGAGCGACGUUUGGGGCUCAGCAGUCGUCAAAAAUUUGCCUUCGUGCUCCUGCUCCUCCUCAUGAAGAAGGAGGUCACCAUCUGCGAGGCGGUGCAGCCAAGUCACACUCUGAAUCUAUUAAUCAGAGCUGCGUUGGAACAGACAACUGCGAGACGCCAUAAUUUCAUCUGUAAACUCAGACACAAUGAGCUGAUACAGAAAAGGCCAGUGAGGAGGAAAAACCAGAGCUACAUCCAAAACAUCUGUAUCACAGGCGUUUCCAACAAGGUUUGACUCGAAAAAACUUCAUGCCUUUUAUUCUCUGCUUUUUUUAUCCUCAUGCUGAAUUUAACUUAGCGUCUCAGGGCUAAAGCAUCACUUUAAAAAUACAACGAACCCACACUGAAAAUGCUAAACGCACAAAUGACUGUAGCUGUUUACUCACCUAAACUGAAAACACUCUGCUCAGUAUUUACAGCUCGUUGACUACACAGCUAUUCAUUAUUUAAUAAGUGUCUGCCAGUAACAGCUGCCGCUACAGCAGCUAAGGAUGAAGCAAGUGGGCACAUUAAUAAAACACACACAUCAGCGUUUUUACA